This is a long non-coding RNA of Catharus ustulatus (Swainson's thrush), 8059 nucleotides long. RefSeq lists it as uncharacterized. The transcript has 5 exons. Lineage: Eukaryota; Metazoa; Chordata; Aves; Passeriformes; Turdidae. The record is from RefSeq and is a predicted model, not a curated record.
CAGGAGAAAUGUCUGGGAUUUGGUUAAUCACCUCAGCCUCGUGGAAAGGGCAGGGGGGCAAGCCAGAGGGAAUGGGAAAACCUGCUGGAGGCUCCAGGAGAAGGACGCUGAGCUGGAAGGAGAUAAGUACGCAUGGGGGCUUCGAGCUGGUGGGAGAAGAGAGGAGCUGGAGGAAGGAAUCCCACGCUUGAAGGGGUUUUUCACUACUCCUUUCCAGACAUCAGCCAGCAAUCCGGCGGCCGAGGGGGGAAGCAGUAGGGUGGGGAGGGAGAGGGUAGAGGAAAGAACGAGGGGGGAGCACACACUGGCAUUGAAUUGGUCUCUCCCUUCUUCUGCUUGCCACCAGGCAAUAAAUUCGGGUCUUGUUAUUUCUCCCUAGCACCUCUACCUGCUAGGAAGCCUUUAGCACCUCCCUUGUGAUCUCUGCAGGUACUGCUUUGGAGACAUGACCGCACACACAGACACACACACUCACACUUAUCCUGCACCCAAAUUACAGGGUUACACGGAGCCCAGUCAAUACCUCCGCACCACAGAUAACACGUUUCCUCCCCACCUUCUGCUAUUGACCGUGGGUGGAUCUCUGCCGCUAAUUAGAGACACUGAAAUCCUGGAAAUAUCAACCACAAAUAGCACUCUGAAGACACUUGUCCCUUUUUUAAAUGUAACGCGUUUAUUUCCCUUGGUCCUUUUCUCUUUUUCUUUCGAAGAAGCCCCUACUUGAUUCAAGAGCCCGACUUCUACCAUCUACCUCUACAUCAGGUAUAGGUGGGCACACGUUUUCCUGCGCUCCUCAGGAGCCAAUUUUUGGCCAGUGAAAAAUACAGGUAUGCCCGAAAAUGGUGAUAAAUGAAAUCAGGUGCGAUGGGAUAAAGAAGUGAGGAAGGAGGCUGCAGAGAAGCCGUGGCAGCAGCAGGACAGAAGCCCCGGCCGCCGACCCCGCUGUGCCCCGCACCCCCGGCCACGCCGCCUGGCCACUGCCACCUCCCAGCACCUGCCAGACGACAUGGGCUCUGGAAAUCCUUCCCCAUCCCUUCUGGAGAAUCCUUCUCCGCCCCCAGUCCUGUCCAAGUUCUUCAGGGCAUGGGGAAGAGCAAUUAAGUUUUCCGCCUGAUCUCCCCCCGCAGGUUCCCAGACAUUCCCCAGGCACGCUGCCGGUCCCCUCAGCCAGCAGCAAUGCUGUGCUUUCCCCGGCACGGGGAGAAGCGCUGAGCCCUUCCAGAGCCCGCUGCAAGGGUUAACCCGGGGGAUGGAGCAGCAUCCUUCCCGUUGGAAACACGCCACCUGAACGCGAGAUCAAACCUACUCACCGGGUGAAAUUGCAGGAGGCGAAGCGGCUGGGAAUAAAACGCAUCCCGGCUCCAAGCAUAUAGUCCAUGAUCUGCGGCUUCAAGCUAGAGGAAGGCUGAGCAGGGUGGGGGGACUGUGGGAACCAGCAGCGGUUCUGUGUGUGUGACAACCCAUUUACACCGUGCGUGCCCGUCUGUGCGUGUGUGUAGGGCAGAGAGAGGCUCCAAACCCAAACGGGGGGAAAGAGGGAGGGGAGAAGGAGGAGGAGAGAGGGAAGCAAACCCGAAUAGCAAGAGGAGUUGCAAAGAGGGAUGGGAUUCGCUGGGGUAGAUUUGGGUUUUUUUGGUGGUGAUGGAAGCGAUUCUCGAGGAAAAAAAAAAUAACAGAUUGUGGGCUCAGCCGCAGGCAGGAGGAGAGCGGCUUUGCCCACACAGGUGGAACACAGGCAAGCCCGCAGCGAGCCGGGAGGGCCAGAGACAGCCGGAGCUCAUCCCGGGGGCCGGGCAGUGACGGGGAGCCGAGCCCGAGGUGGGGAGAGCGAUAUCCCGGGGGCAGCUCCGGGAGCGGGCUGGGCACGGGCACAGCGCGCCCGCAGGCUGCGGGUGGCGCGGCAGCAGCAUCCUUCCUCCGCCUCCUCCUCCUCCUCCUCCUCCUGCACCGCAACCCAGCGAGCCGCGGCGGCGAUACCGGCCGGGCUCUUGGCAUGGAAAUAAUGCCCUGGCUCCGUGGAAAAACCCCCUUUUCCUCGCACGGUGACUCCGGAAUGCGUGCGGAAUUGGAAGGUGGGCUGAGAGCGAGUGAACUGAGCCCAGCCCGUGUCAGGGAGCAGCGAGCAGACCAACACACGGGGCUGUGGCAUCCCUGCGGUGCAGCACGGCUGUGUGCUCCUCAUCCCUAGCAGGAUCCAUCAGCACAGCAGCCAUGCAGAUUAGGUGAUGGAUGUGCCAGGCAAUAUGGAGAGAUCAUACACCAGCACUUGUCUGCUGUGCUCUAUGUGCUCUUUAAGAGAGAGUAAUUUCUGGGUUUUUAUUAAAAAAGCUUUUUGUCUUCUUUCUGUUAUCUCCGUAAUCACCAGUGUGAAGCAUUCGUGCCUGUUCGCCAGUCUGGCAGUUUUAUGUUUCCAGAACCUGCUGGGAAAAAGUCAGAAAUCACAGAAGCCCAAGAUUCCUUUGUCAUCACAUUGGUUUGUUCCUCUCAGCAUAUUUAAUCAUUAAUUCACUCCACGAAUUGCUCAGUGGAGUGAGCUGAUCUUAGCAAUGAUUUACGCUGCUGGGGGCUUUAUUGAUUUUUUUUCUUUAGCGAGCACGUAAGAAAAGGAGUGUAGGAAGGAUCACACAGUUUGUAAAAAAAAAAAAAUAAAAAAAAUAUAUAUAUGUAUAAAAUCAGUGUACGUUUCAGUAGUCGCUGUUAAACAUAUAUACGAUUCUUUAUGCAAUUAUAAAAACAAAAGGUCUCUCUGCCUCAGGAUAUGAUUUCUCUUAUAGCAACAGGUAGCAAAGGCUCCUGUGCCCCCUCUCUCCCCUUAUCUCCUCCCCUUCAGCUCCUGCUGACAAAGCGCCGGUUUAAAAGGUCAGCCUGUUUAUGUAAAUAUUGUGGGUUUCUUAACAAAGACUGCCGCACAUCAAGCUGAAAUAACUGCCAGAUAGACUUGGGAUUCGAGGCAUUGGGGAAGAGUGCUGUCCAUUUCCUAGGACUGGUUAAAAACUCGGAGGAAACAAAGCACAGCUGGUGCGUGCUGGGAUGGAUGGGCAGCAGCACCGUCACGGCAGAGUUUGGUACUGCAGUGUCCAUCGCACCUUGGCGCUGCCUGGUGCGAGAGAGACACACGGAAUGUGCAAGGAGACAUUUGCUGCUGUGCUAAUGCCUUUCUGCUCUCUUCUUCAGGUUUCUUCUUCUCUCUAGCCAUGUCCUAGGCUGAACUUGCUCUGCGGCUCGUUCACUCCAAAGGUAGAUUUAAUCAGCCAAGGAGGAUUUUGAGUCUGACCAACCUCACCCUCCCCAUGAAAGAGAUUGACUUCAUUGGUCUUUGGCUCAGACACUUCACAAUAAGUUGGAGUUUCUAUUUCGUAGCAUCCAGAGGUGUAGUGGACAUAGUCUGGUCUUUAUUUCCCUCCCUGCUCACUUCUUUCACCUACAGAGCAGGACGUUUCCUCAGGUAGUAUCAACUCUUCUGGUCCUUUUCCACUUUAAAUUUAACAAGAAUAUUCUGAUUUUAUUCACUUCAUAGGAUCACAGAAUUAUGGAAUAGUUCAUUUGGGAAGGAACCUUAAAGAUGAUCUAAUUCCAGGCCCUUGUCACAUUCCACAGGAAUAGGCUGCUCAGAAAAGAUUAUGUCCAUUACCAAAAUGUUAAAAAUCUUACCUAGGAAUUACAACACAGAUCUUACCCUGUGGUCAAGUCCAAGACCUAAUUGCCACCACAGUUUGAUUUGAGCCCUCAAAACCAUUCUAAAGCAGAGUUAAAGGGUUGUAGAGGAUUAUGAUGUCUUUUGUUCAGUGGUGUUAAUAACCUAUGGCCUUAAAAUAGGAUAUUAUAAAAUCUCGUUUUAGGGCAGAGUCCUGAAGCCACAAACAAUGGAACAAAAUUGUACUUGAACGAGGCAGAAGCUUACAUCACCACCAAAAAUGCUAAAUGCAGAUUGGGACCCUGUCUGCAGCAGAAUCAUGUGAGGGAGAAGUGGAGCAUCAAAUUCUCUCUUCCCAAAAGCCUUUUGGCCCUGAAUUAGAGGUCAUUAGAGUUCUUUGUCCUGUAAAUCUGCAUUUAACAGCAGUGUAUAUCUGUGUAGGUAAAUACAUUUUAACAGCUUAUCGCAUCAUAUCUUUUUUCUACUUCAUAUUACCAACCCUUUGAUCCUGUUUCUUCCUGAACCUGCUUAGAGAUUCUUCUUUAACUACUGAAAAAGGUAUGUAAUUUAUUAAGGCAUUUCAGUAGUUACUCUAAGUUUGCAACAGGCAAACCUAUUAUGCAAACACUACUGUCACCUUCUUGCAGUGACUUCCUUCUCCCAGCUAUAAUGAAUUCCCUGCAUGCUACUUUGCUGUAAAUUCUCCAUCUAAAAAUUCCAUACACUAUGUGAUGUGUCAGGAGAAACUGUACUUGACUUUUGAAACAGUUGGGAGGAGCAGAAUGAUAACCUACUAAAGUGCCUUGCCCUUAACUGAAAUUAUGGCAAGUAAUUAAAGUUAGAGCAAAAAGACUUAAGCUUUGGAUUGCUUAUGUUCUUAGUGUUUUAACGUGGGUGAAAUUUUUUUUAGAAGUCUGAUUUGAAUGUCAAAUUUGCAUAUUCAUCCAGAAAACAUAGGGAGUGCUUAAUUGCCUGUGUCCAGCAUUCCUAUUUUGCUUGGGAAACAAUGCUUCACAUAUUAAUGUGUUUCAUUUCUAGCUACUGUUUGCAGCCAUAAAUUGCCCUGCGUAUCUAAACAAGCCCUGUAUUUGCUCUUUAUAGAGACAAAUAUGCCAUAUUUAGAAUUUUGCUUUAUAAUUGUAUCAGAAACAGCUGGUCACAGAGGAGAUGCUUCCGCUCCACUGGUGCAGUGGGUCUGGCUGAAGUGGUGUUCAUGCUUCCAGAGCAGCCCUCAGUGCUGUGCUUUGCCCUGGGAGCUGCAAAGGUGCAGAUAACACCACAGGUUUGGCUGCUGCUGGGCAGGGCUGGCACAGCCUCAGCUCUGUCUCUCAGCAUUCCCUGCCAUGGAAGGGCAGGGAGCAGCUCCCCCAGACUGACCAAAGGGAUAUUCCAGACAUUAUGACAUCAGCUCAGUGGGGGAGGAGGACUGGGGAGGAGGAUGUGUUAUUUACAACAUUUACCUUCCAGAGCAUCAGCUCCAUGUGCUGCAGUCUGCUUCCCAGGAAAAGGCCAGACCUUGCCAGCUGAUGGGAAGGAGGGAAUAAAAGCUUCAGGCUUUCUCUUUACCUGAGAGCACAAAACCUUUCACUUUUCUUUUAGUAAACUGCCUUAUCCCAACCUAGGAGUUGUUUUCCAUCUUCUCUCUCCACUGUCCAGCUGGAAGGGGGAGUGGGUAGACUGGCUUGGUGGGCUCCUUGCAAUAACAGAGAUAUGGAUAUAUUCGCUUGAAUAAAGUUAUGCCCACUGAGUUUCUCCUCACUUGCAGACGAGUUUAUUUUUGGGAUCUCUGAACAUUUCACCUACAGAAAAUGAACCAGUACAAUAGGUUGGUUUUGCCCCCCAAAAAAUCAAAGAAAUAAAACAUUUACUAUUCACUUGCCCUGUUCUUUGGCAGCAGGGGACAAACUUAAAGUCUGGGGUUUUUUUCAGACUCUUGCUGUCAUUGAAGCAGCAGUUUUCCUAGACAGAAUAACCUUUGGGUAGAAGAGGUGAUAUUUCUCUACUGCUUUCAGAAGGUAUUAAUUGCAAGACGUGUAAGCUGAGCUCAGUAGACACAGCCAGACAUACAGGAGGGAUACAAUAGCACACCUGAGAAGUGAGGCAUGAACUUCUCCAGGGCCUGCCAACUUCCUGACUCCUGUUCUUGAGAGAUGCAAGACUGUUCUGUUGGAUCUUCAGAGCUGCUGUCAUCUGUGCCAGGUAGGGUGCUGCGAGAUUCUCUCUGCACAUACACACAGUCAGCUGAAGAAAUAACUGUGGAGGGAUUUCAUGGCUCUCCUGUGACAGGCUUUGUUUAUAGUUCUUAAUUCCUAGCACUUUAGGCAAAUGAUGACUGCCAUCACACACUGCAAGAGGUCAAAAUCAGGUGACUUUGGAGCAUUCCCAACCUUGACAUUAAAACUGAAAAGAUCUGAAAAUUGUCUUCAAAUCCAUGGGGCAAUGACAAUAGCAAUGUGCUGCAAUACAUUACUGACCCUAUGGCUAUUUUUUUUUAAUUUUUUUUCCAGUUCUGGCAUAUCCUGGCCAUGUUUCAAAGACCAAUAGUGAUGAAAGGAAAAAUAUGGGUUUGCCAUUUUAAAAAUAUCCUCUGAUAUAUUCAGGCAUUUCUUCCAUCUAACUGGACUUUAUGAAAUCACAAAAGUUUCUGUUAAUUUCAAGGAACUUUUGCAGAGAAAGAGCUGAAGGGAGCGGUAAUUUAAAUCAUGUUUUUGUUGUGGAGAUUCCCGUGCAUCAAAUUACUGUUUUUCUUAAGAAAAAUUUAUUCAGCUACUGUAGUACCCCAGUCUGAGAAGGCCUGUCCUGUGAAAGUAGUAUAAUCUGUAUUUCCAUUAGUUAAUGUGAUGGACAGAGAGCUGUGAUGGACAGAGAAUGGAGGCUUCUCUGCCACAAGCACUGACUUUACAAGCAGUGUGAGAAGCACAGACCUCUGCAGAUUUGUAGAGGAAUUGAGGUGUAAUUUUAGUGUGCUUGUGUUUAAAUAAAGGAGUCAUGCAUCUGCUGUUGGGUUUUAGCCCCACCUGACCUUAGUGUUGGCACAGAGUCAGAAAAAAUCCUCCCAGCUGGUGCUGUGUUGUUUCUGUGUAGUCAGAAGGGAUUGCCUUCCAGACUAGGCAAGGUAUUAACACAAAAAUUCUCUUCCUAUAGAGUUUGGAUCUGAAAUAUAUUUGAAUUAAUGGUGUAGGACAGAAAAAGAGCUGAAAUUAAUAGAAGACCCCUCAAUGAAUUUUCUGUGGCACAUGUAAAAGAACAAGACCCACAUUCAGAAAAAACUGAGUGUUUGGAAAGGUGAUGGAGUGAAGUGAAGUUCCACUGAUGCUUUGCAGUGUGAAGGAAUUGCACAACAGAAAGGCAGAGUUUUAAAAGUGGCAGUGCUGUGAAGAAAAACUUAAAGAGAAUGUGAUUUGCAUUGAGAAAAUAGAUUAUUGUACAGAUAUUGGUUCCAUUGGAUAGUGAUUCCCUGAAUGACAUCUGCUGCAUUAUCUCAAUAAAUCUGGUUAUCUCCCACAGAAACGAGCUGAGCAAAAGGUCUGUAGUAAGUUUUGAAAAGAAUAUUUGUUAUUAUGUGUCAUUUACACAUAAGAAUCAAGCUACAUGGCCUCUAAUGACAGUGAACAAGAACAACAAGUUUCUUGUACAUUCUGUUACAUGCAUUUCCAGUCUCUAGCCUGCACUGAAAAUGCAGCAAUUUUACAAGCAUUUCUCAUUUGCCCAGGCUAUGGAGUUAAUGAGAUAGAAAAAGAAUGAAGAAUUUGUAUGGAAUUUGUGUAUUUUACUUAAUUUCCAACUCAAACAUAAUAACAUGAAAGACAAGUGAUAUAUGAAUAAAGUUGUGUGUCCUUUCUUUGCUUUUCACAGCUCUUGUUUUGUAGCAGUCUGGGUUGAGUCGCUCUGGCACACAACAGGGCUGUAAAGUUGGCAAGUGGCAAAGAACUCUUCUGCUUCACAGCCUGCCAGUGAGUCUGCUGUUUGUAAUAGUACUGGGAGUAUUUUCCAUUUGCAAAUCAGCAAUUGGAAGAAUGAAGUCAUUUAAAGUUAUGCUGUUUCUGGGUGUGCUUAUUGCACAGUGAUUAUUGCAUCAUCACCUGCAACAUGUUGCAGUGAUGGAAAAUGAAAAUCGUUAUCCUAACAAGUUUUCUACUGGAUUUUUCAUUCAAGCUAGCUAAAGGACAUGUGGAUUGAUUCUGCUAGCUUCUCCAUGAAAAUCUAUUUCUACAUCCAAAAUUCUUCUCAUCCCCACUCAAAUAUGGUCCACUUGAAAGAUUCCUCUCCCGAAACACUUCACUAUAAUGUCUCUGGCCAGCAUUAAACACAGCCUUAUUUGGUCACAGAAAACAUGGAGACAAGCUCUCCCUCUUCUCAACAAAUAUUAAACUUAAGUAAUAUUUCUCAAGCUCUGUAAGAAGCUUGAGAAAAUUUUCACUAAAA